This 253-nucleotide ribosomal RNA is filed under the name uncultured prokaryote. RNAcentral's name for it is "partial 16S ribosomal RNA". It matches the Rfam family "Bacterial small subunit ribosomal RNA", at positions 521 to 774 of the family's 1533-position model. The record is from RNAcentral.
UAAUACGUAGGUGGCAAGCGUUGUCCGGAAUUAUUGGGCGUAAAGCGCGCGCAGGCGGUCCUUUAAGUCUGAUGUGAAAGCCCACGGCUCAACCGUGGAGGGUCAUUGGAAACUGGGGGACUUGAGUGCAGAAGAGGAAAGCGGAAUUCCACGUGUAGCGGUGAAAUGCGUAGAGAUGUGGAGGAACACCAGUGGCGAAGGCGGCUUUCUGGUCUGUAACUGACGCUGAGGCGCGAAAGCGUGGGAGCAAACA